UACGUAGGGUCCAAGCGUUAUCCGGAAUCACUGGGCGUAAAGCGUUUGUAGGCGGAAAUCUAAGUGAGAUGCGAAGAUCUGGUGGCUCAACCACCUAGACGGUAUCUCAUACUGGGUUUCUAGAAUAUAGCAGAGGCAAGUGGAAUUAGUAGUGUAGCGGUAAAAUGCGUAGAUAUUACUAGGAACACCAAUGGCGAAGGCAGCUUGCUGGGCUAUUAUUGACGCUGAGAAACGAAAGCGUGGGGAGCGAACAGG
Molecule: ribosomal RNA, 255 nt
Filed under: uncultured bacterium
Lineage: Bacteria
Description: partial 16S ribosomal RNA
Rfam family: Bacterial small subunit ribosomal RNA
Source: RNAcentral